GACGAACGCUGGCGGCGUGCCUAAUACAUGCAAGUAGAACGCUGAAGAGAGGAGCUUGCUCUUCUUGGAUGAGUUGCGAACGGGUGAGUAACGCGUAGGUAACCUGCCUGGUAGCGGGGGGAUAACUAUUGGAAACGAUAGCUAAUACCGCAUGAAAUGGAUUAUCGCAUGAUAAUCGAUUGAAAGGUGCAAAUGCAUCACUACCAGAUGGACCUGCGUUGUAUUAGCUAGUUGGUGGGGUAACGGCUCAUCAAGGCAACGAUACAUAGCCGACGUGAGAGAGUGAUCGGCCACCAUGGGACUGAGACACGGCCCAGACUCCUACGGGAGGCAGCAGUAGGGAAUCUUCGGCAAUGGACGGAAGUCUGACCGAGCAACGCCGCGUGAGUGAAGAAGGUUUUCGGAUCGUAAAGCUCUGUUGUAAGGGAAGAACGAGUGUGAGAGUGGAAAGUUCACACUGUGACGGUAUCUUACCAGAAAGGGACGGCUAACUACGUGCCAGCCGCCGCGGUAA
RNAcentral lists this ribosomal RNA (514 nucleotides) under uncultured bacterium. RNAcentral describes it as "partial 16S ribosomal RNA". It matches the Rfam family "Bacterial small subunit ribosomal RNA", at positions 28 to 523 of the family's 1533-position model. The record is from RNAcentral.